RNAcentral lists this ribosomal RNA (497 nucleotides) under uncultured bacterium. RNAcentral's name for it is "partial 16S ribosomal RNA". It matches the Rfam family "Bacterial small subunit ribosomal RNA", at positions 28 to 507 of the family's 1533-position model. The record is from RNAcentral.
GACGAACGCUGGCGGCGUGCCUAAUACAUGCAAGUAGAACGCUGAAGAGAGGAGCUUGCUCUUCUUGGAUGAGUUGCGAACGGGUGAGUAACGCGUAGGUAACCUGCCUGGUAGCGGGGGAUAACUAUUGGAAACGAUAGCUAAUACCGCAUAAAAUGGAUUAUCGCAUGAUAAUCCAUUGAAAGGUGCAAAUGCAUCACUACCAGAUGGACCUGCGUUGUAUUAGCUAGUUGGUGGGGUAACGGCUCACCAAGGCGACGAUACAUAGCCGACCUGAGAGGGCGAUCGGCCACACUGGGACUGAGACACGGCCCAGACUCCUACGGGAGGCAGCAGUAGGGAAUCUUCGGCAAUGGACGGAAGUCUGACCGAGCAACGCCGCGUGAGUGAAGAAGGUUUUCGGAUCGUAAAGCUCUGUUGUAAGAGAAGAACGAGUGUGAGAGUGGAAAGUUCACACUGUGACGGUAUCUUACCAGAAAGGGACGGCUAACUACGUG